UCUGUCCCCGUGUCCCUGUGUCUGUUCUCAGGCGGCCCCAGGAGCUGGCACUGACCGUGCCGCGGGUCGGGCACAGGCUGCUCCCGGCUCUGCCUGCGGAACUUCGGCAAUUGCCCACAGCAGUUCUUUGCCCUGCUCUCCCGAAGGGGCAGCUCAUCUGACACCUGCCAGGUGACACCUGAGGCUCUCCUUUCCCUCCCCCGUUUUCUUGGCAACUCGCACCCUCCCGGGGCAAACCCUCCGGUUUUUAAAAAUCCCAUUGAAACGUUUCAUCUUUAAUUGCAGACGGGGAGGGUCCUGCCUGGGAGGGAACGGCUACAGGAGAGGAAACCAAGAAAUGCUCCAACCGGACGCUGCCGCGCGAGUCAAAGGAGGGAAGGACCGCAGGGAAAUCGAGUCAGGAAAUGCGCUUUUAUUCAAUCUCUGCAGCUCUCCCUCCUCUGCACGAGCCCUUCGCAGCCACGGCCCGAGGGAUUGCGGCCGGCUGGGCUGUGCCCGGCUGGGGACGGGCACCAAUUCACCACUGCCCUGCUCAGGGAGGUUUUCCGGCCCCGUCCGGGAUUCACCCAACGGCUGCAAAGGUGCUCGGGCGACGUCCGAGCUCAUUUCCAGGGAUAAAGGAGCCAAACGAGCCCAGAGGGAUCCCUCGCUCCGAGGCAAAGGCGUCGGUCGAGUGUCACCGCCUGGUCCCGCCUGCGGGGGGGCGUCUCCUCCAGCCGGAGCCCAGCAGCCAGCAGCAGCCUUAAAGCCAGGGCCAUCUGCCCCCGGCGGCACUAAAUCCCGAGCCAGAGCCCUCGGUGAUGCCUGAAAAGAAAAGGGGAUGCUCGGAGAAAGUUGGGCUUGGAGGCAAUUCGCAGUUGUUCAGGGGCCCAACCGCAACCGCAGAACCCGUGGACAGCUGGAACAGGUGGGUCAGAGCCGAGGUGCCCUGAAGGCAGGGAUGUGCAUCCCUUUGCUCGGGGAAAAGGACUUGCCGGGGCCGCUCCCGAGGCUCCAAAGGGACAGCGCUUCCCGGCCGGAGAGACGUCCUCGCCCGUGCUCAGGGGCUGCCUCGCCCCGGGCCGGGAGCGCGGCCGGCCCCCGCCUUCUCCUGGGCCAACACAUCCCCUGGAGCCCGGCCCGGGGCGGAGAAUCGGCCCAAUUCCAGCCAACUCGCUCAGGUUCCCCCAGGGACACCGGCGGGGCCGGGGCAGGAGGGUUACAAACAGCAAAGUCUGUGCAACAUCAACCUGUCCUUGUCCCGAUCCCGCUGAGCAAACCUGGAACCGCGGCUGCUUCCUGGCAAACCUGGCCUUAAAGCAGCAGCUCUGCAGGGGAAUAGCCGGGCUCCAGGAGGCACUGGGAGGCUGUUCCAGCAGGAAUUCGGCAUGGAAUUGCGGGCUGUAGGGACACUGACCCUUAUUUGAUCCUGCUCUCCCACGGUUCAUUUUGGGGGAUCCAUUUGUGCUGGUUUACCUUCAGCGACUCCACCCACAGCUGGAGAUUUGGGGCUGUGCUUCCCUACUCCCAGCAGGUUCCCUAAGGAGCCAGAUA
This is a long non-coding RNA of Pseudopipra pipra, 1533 nucleotides long. RefSeq lists it as uncharacterized. The transcript is spliced from 3 exons. NCBI's taxonomy places the organism in Eukaryota, Metazoa, Chordata, Aves, Passeriformes, Pipridae. The record is from RefSeq and is a predicted model, not a curated record.